AGUGAACGCUGGCGGUAGGCCUAACACAUGCAAGUCGAACGGCAGCACAGUAAGAGCUUGCUCUUACGGGUGGCGAGUGGCGGACGGGUGAGGAAUACAUCGGAAUCUACUUUUUCGUGGGGGAUAACGUAGGGAAACUUACGCUAAUACCGCAUACGGCCUACGGGUGAAAGCAGGGGAUCUUCGGACCUUGCGCGAUUGAAUGAGCCGAUGUCGGAUUAGCCAGUUGGCGGGGUAAAGGCCCACCAAGGCGACGAUCCGUAGCUGGUCUGAGAGGAUGAUCAGCCACACUGGAACUGAGACACGGUCCAGACUCCUACGGGAGGCAGCAGUGGGGAAUAUUGGACAAUGGGCGCAAGCCUGAUCCAGCCAUACCGCGUGGGUGAAGAAGGCCUUCGGGUUGUAAAGCCCUUUUGUUGGGAAAGAAAAGCAGCAGGUUAAUACCCCGCUGUUCUGACGGUACCCAAAGAAUAAGCGCCGGCUAACUUCGUG
Molecule: ribosomal RNA, 492 nt
Filed under: uncultured bacterium
Lineage: Bacteria
Description: partial 16S ribosomal RNA
Rfam family: Bacterial small subunit ribosomal RNA
Source: RNAcentral